GAUGAACGCUGACAGAAUGCUUAACACAUGCAAGUCAACUUGAACUUCGGUUUGGGUGGCGGACGGGUGAGUAACGCGUAAAGAACUUGCCUCACAGAUAGGGACAACAUUUGGAAACGAAUGCUAAUACCUGAUAUUAUGAUUUUAGGGCAUCCUAGAAUUAUGAAAGCUAUAUGCGCUGUGAGAGAGCUUUGCGUCCCAUUAGCUAGUUGGAGAGGUAACGGCUCACCAUGGCGAUGAUGGGUAGCCGGCCUGAGAGGGUGAUCGGCCACAAGGGGACUGAGACACGGCCCUUACUCCUACGGGAGGCAGCAGUGGGGAAUAUUGCACAAUGGGCGAAAGCCUGAUGCAGCAACGCCGCGUGAACGAUGAAGGUCUUCGGAUCGUAAAGUUCUGUUGCAGGGGAAGAUAAUGACGGUACCCUGUGAGGAAGCCCCGGCUAACUACGUGCCAGCAGCCGCGGUAAUACGUAGGGGGCUAGCGUUAUCCGGAUUUACUGGGCGUAAAGGGUGCGUAGGUGGUCCUUCAAGUCGGUGGUUAAAGGCUACGGCUCAACCGUAGUAAGCCGCCGAAACUGGAGGACUUGAGUGCAGGAGAGGAAAGUGGAAUUCCCAGUGUAGCGGUGAAAUGCGUAGAUAUUGGGAGGAACACCAGUAGCGAAGGCGGCUUUCUGGACUGUAACUGACGCUGAGGCUCGAAAGCGUGGGGAGCGAACAGG
RNAcentral lists this ribosomal RNA (718 nucleotides) under uncultured Fusobacterium sp. Its description in RNAcentral is "bacterial SSU rRNA". It matches the Rfam family "Bacterial small subunit ribosomal RNA", at positions 28 to 776 of the family's 1533-position model. Lineage: Bacteria; Fusobacteriati; Fusobacteriota; Fusobacteriia; Fusobacteriales; Fusobacteriaceae. The record is from RNAcentral.